This 499-nucleotide ribosomal RNA is filed under the name uncultured bacterium. RNAcentral describes it as "partial 16S ribosomal RNA". It matches the Rfam family "Bacterial small subunit ribosomal RNA", at positions 899 to 1397 of the family's 1533-position model. The record is from RNAcentral.
ACUCAAAUGAAUUGACGGGGACCCGCACAAGCGGUGGAGCAUGUGGUUUAAUUCGACGCAACGCGAAGAACCUUACCAGGCCUUGACAUCCCGAUUAAGGAGAGCAGAGACGCUUUCCGUCAUUUAGUUGGAUCGGUGACAGGUGCUGCAUGGCUGUCGUCAGCUCGUGUCGUGAGAUGUUGGGUUAAGUCCCGCAACGAGCGCAACCCUUAUCUUCUGUUGCCAGCAUUUAGUUGGGCACUCAGACGAAACUGCCGGUGAUAAGCCGGAGGAAGGUGGGGACGACGUCAAGUCAUCAUGGCCCUUACGGCCUGGGCUACACACGUGCUACAAUGGUGGUGACAAUGGGCAGCUAACCCGCGAGGGCAUGCUAAUCUCAAAAAACCAUCUCAAUUCGGAUUGUUCUCUGCAACUCGAGAGCAUGAAGCUGGAAUCGCUAGUAAUCGUGGAUCAGCAUGCCACGGUGAAUACGUUCCCGGGUCUUGCACACACCGCCCGU